GCAUUGGGUUCAAUCCUUGGCACCACAUAAAAAUAAAAUAAAGGUUAUUAUGUUCACCUACAACUAAAACAUAUUUUUUAAAAAAGAACUUUCCAAAGUUUUCCAUUAUAGGCUCAUGAAUCUUAGGCCUAACUAUAAAAACUAAAAUUAUGAAAUUUCUAGCAGAAAACAGAAAAAAAUCUUUUAUGACAUUAAGGUAAACAAAUAUUUCUCAGCUAAGGCACCAAAGGCACAGUCCGUCAACAAAAAAUAAACCAUUUGGACUUCACCAAAAUCAACAACUUCUAAUCUUCAAAAGACAUUGUUAAGGGUUGUGAUAUAGCUCAGUUGGUAGAGUGCUUGCCUUGCAUGCACAAGGCCUUGGGUUUGAUCCCCAGCACCAAAAAAAAAAAAAAAAAAAAGUGUUAAAACACAUCACAGACUAAGAGGAAACACUUGCAAAUCAUAUAUCUGAAAAUGUAAUACCAAGAAAACAACCUGGUUUUGUACCAAAAAAGGGGGCAAUAUAUUUGAAAAAAUACACUAUCAAAGAAGAUAUAUGGGUGGCAAGCAAAUAAGAUCAACACCAGAAGUUUGCAAGGAAAUGCAAAUGAAAACCACAAGAGAUACUGCUUCACCUUAGAGUGGCUAAAAGUAAAAAGACUGAUGAUAUCAAGUACUUAGGAGGGUGUGAAGCAAUAGAACUGAUAUUUUGCUGGUAGAAAUGUGAGAAGGUGGAGCCCCCCUGUGGAAAAUAGUUUGGCUGGUUUCUUACACAGUUAAACAUAUUACAACAGCUAUUCAAUUCCUAUGCAUUUACUCAAUUGAAACGAAAACCCAUGGACCCCCCCUGCAAAAUCUGCACAUGAAUGUUUAUGUAAACAUAAUUUGUAAACAUAAAUUGUAAAUAUAUGUCCCUCAGCUACAGAAUAGAUAAGCAAAUUGUAGUACGUCCAUCAUGUUGGAGGGAAUGUGAUUGGGUACAAUUAUUUUGAAAAAUGGUUCUUCAGUAUUUACCAAAGUCAAACCCAGAAAUUGCAUUCCUAGAAAUAUACACAACAGAAAAAGCUUAUACAAGAAUGUUUACAGCAUUACUACUCAUAAUAACCCAUAAUAAAGAGUACAUAAUAACUUAGAGUAUCUAAUAAAGACUCCAGUUUGGACGUUCUUCCAUGACAACUUUCAAUCCCCAUCACUCUGCUUUCUCUUUUGCCUACACCUGGAUAUGCCCAUAGGAAAGCCCACAGUUCCCUUCCUUGGCACAGGUGGGAAGUUCGACCUACACAAACUCCAGCCUGGAUCCUCCUGCCCUCUGCCUGACCACCGUAUACAC
This 1312-nucleotide long non-coding RNA is filed under the name Marmota monax (woodchuck). The stretch from base 313 to 385 matches the Rfam family "tRNA". Lineage: Eukaryota; Metazoa; Chordata; Mammalia; Rodentia; Sciuridae. The record is from RNAcentral.